AAGACCUUGCGCUUUUGGAGCGGCCGAUGUCUGAUUAGCUAGUUGGUAGGGUAAUGGCCCACCAAAGCUUCGAUCAGUAGCUGGUCUGAGAGGACGACCAGCCACACUGGGACUGAGACACGGCCCAGACCCCUACGGGAGGCAGCAGUGGGGAAUUUUGGACAAUGGGCGCAAGCCUGAUCCAGCCAUGCCGCGUGAGUGAAGAAGGCCUUCGGGUUGUAGAGCUCUUUCAGCCGGGAAGAAAAGGCUACGACGAAUAAUCGUAGCUCAUGACGGUACCGGAAGAAGAAGCACCGGCUAACUACGUGCCAGCAGCCGCGGUAAUACGUAGGGUGCGAGCGUUAAUCGGAAUUACUGGGCGUAAAGGGUGCGCAGGCGGUUUUGUAAGUCAGAUGUGAAAUCCCCGGGCUUAACCUGGGAACU
Molecule: ribosomal RNA, 423 nt
Filed under: uncultured bacterium
Lineage: Bacteria
Description: bacterial SSU rRNA
Rfam family: Bacterial small subunit ribosomal RNA
Source: RNAcentral